Pelobates cultripes (western spadefoot toad) is the source of this 1151-nucleotide non-coding RNA. Lineage: Eukaryota; Metazoa; Chordata; Amphibia; Anura; Pelobatidae. The record is from the annotation of a GenBank genome assembly.
GGCCCACCUACACAAAUCUUAUAUCAAAACGUUCAGCUAUCCCUGCUGCCACUAAACAUGUCAACGGCUAAGCCAUAGUCCUGAUAGUUUUCACAAUCUAAUCAUUUGUUUGCAACUAACGCCGUCCAUUGACAUUCAUUGAAACUUCCCUCUACAAAGCUCAAAUUUGAAGUGCAAUUUCUAAACUGCGACUGUGCCUUCAUUUUUAAUACUUCAGAGACAUACUAUGCAUCGAAAUGUAGGUCUGGGUCUUGUGAUUCUCACAAUAUAAAGCUCUUCGCUGUAGGAUGUAUAGUUUUUAAAAUAUGACCAUUUGAAGAUGGCAACCGCCAAAAUACUCUGACCUGUGUCAGGCUGCAGCAGCAAGUGAUGUCAUAGACAGGGCCUUUUGAACACCUGCUAAUGUUUUUAUAAAUGUAUGGUUUAAUGUAACUGUGCAACAACGUUGCAAUUAAAUGUGCUAUAUAAAUGAUAACAGUUACUCCGCCCACUCCAGUUGUAGACUACUGGUGGUGGCAAGAACACUUCACACAAUUUCCCCAGAAAUUGUAGCUUUUCUAGUUAUUCUUAUUCUUAAGAUAGCAAAAUUUGCCACCCUAACUCCUCCCACAGUUUUUACACUACAUAGACCAAAAUUUACCAAAACGUGCAGAUUGUUCCCGAUCGGAUUGCUAUUACUUUGUGGAACGUUUCGCCGAAUGGUUCACGGAAUAUCGUCGUUUUUGUGGCGCAAUUUGUCCCAUAGGAAUGAAUGGCAAAGCUAGAGUGGGAGCUGCCAAAAGCUGAAAAAUCAGGACAUGAUUUCUAAACUGUCACCACUCCCUUAUUUACAGGCCCACCUACACAAAUCUUAUAUCAAAACGUUCAGCUAUCCCUGCUGCCACUAAACAUGUCAACGGCUAAGCCGUAAUCCUGAUAGUUUUCACAAUAUGACCAUUUGUUUGCAACCAACGCCGUCCAUUGACAUUCAUUGAAACUUCACUCUGCAAAGCUCAAAUUUGAAGUGCAAUUUCUAAACUGCGACUGUGCCUUCAAUUUUAAUACUUCAGAGACAUACUAUGCAUCAAAAUGUAGGUCUGGGUCUUGUGAUUCUCACAAUAUAAAGCUCUUCACUGUAGGAGUUAUAGUUUUUAAGAUACGACUGUUUGAAG